AAUGGUUGUAUUUUGGAACUUGAUGUAUCUUUUGAGAAUAUGAUGUAAGAUUUGAAUAUUCAGUUAAGGAAGUAACUUUUCUUCAUUUUAGACUUGUAUUAUUUGGUAUGUAUCAUUAAGUUUGAAUUGAAUUGUCUUGAGUCCUGACGAGAGUUGGGCAGGCGUCCCGCGGAUACCCUUGGGUUCGUCCUUGGGAGAAGUGGGGACGUCACACAUCCCAUUCAUUUUAACCAUAGUACCUCUCAUAAUUGGUUGUGUAAAAUCAAUUUCAGCCAGGAUUUUCAUGUGUCUACCAUCUCUACUUCCAAAAUUAGGAAUGACAACCUCUUUUACUGCUGAAAAAACCCUGCCUAUUUUCUUACCUGCUUCCUUGGUAGGCUAGCUAAUUAGCAGAUUCCAAAUUUGAAACCAAGCCAGAGUUUUCUUGAAGGCCUCUUGAUCUUCUUCCACUCCUUCCCUCCAUGGUUGGAGGACUAACGGUUGCCCAUCAAAAAUCCACAGCCUUUUGUUCAGCAUUUUUUCCUGCUCUUCCUCAUUCCUGAAAAGUGAACUGAAACAUGUUUAUUCCCAGCUCCAUAACUUUCACAUUUUUUGCAAACACCCAAAUAGUAGUUGUGAAGCUUCUAACCC
Molecule: long non-coding RNA, 630 nt
Filed under: Coffea arabica (coffee)
Lineage: Eukaryota; Viridiplantae; Streptophyta; Magnoliopsida; Gentianales; Rubiaceae
Description: long non-coding RNA (CARA_LNC006588)
Source: RNAcentral